UACGAAGGGUACAAGCGUUACUCGGAAUUACUGGGCGUAAAGGGUGCGUAGGUGGUCGUUUAAGUCCGUUGUGAAAUCCCUGGGCUCAACCUGGGAAUGGCAGUGGAUACUGGACGGCUAGAAUGCGGUAGAGGGUAGUGGAAUUCCCGGUGUAGCGGUGAAAUGCGUAGAGAUCGGGAGGAACACCAGAGGCGAAGGCGGCGACCUGGAUAGGUACUGACACUCAACUACGAAAGCGUGGGGAGCAAACAGG
This 253-nucleotide ribosomal RNA is filed under the name uncultured bacterium. Its description in RNAcentral is "partial 16S ribosomal RNA". It matches the Rfam family "Bacterial small subunit ribosomal RNA", at positions 524 to 776 of the family's 1533-position model. The record is from RNAcentral.